Molecule: ribosomal RNA, 240 nt
Filed under: Ovis dalli (Dall sheep)
Lineage: Eukaryota; Metazoa; Chordata; Mammalia; Artiodactyla; Bovidae
Description: partial 12S ribosomal RNA
Source: RNAcentral
CGGCAACAGCCCAAAACUCAAAGGACUUGGCGGUGCUUUAUACCCUUCUAGAGGAGCCUGUUCUAUAAUCGAUAAACCCCGAUAAACCUCACCAAUCCUUGCUAAUACAGUCUAUAUACCGCCAUCUUCAGCAAACCCUAAAAAGGAACAAAAGUAAGCUCAAUAAUAAUACAUAAAGACGUUAGGUCAAGGUGUAACCUAUGGAAUGGGAAGAAAUGGGCUACAUUUUCUACCCAAGAA